Molecule: long non-coding RNA, 1161 nt
Organism: Cavia porcellus (domestic guinea pig)
Lineage: Eukaryota; Metazoa; Chordata; Mammalia; Rodentia; Caviidae
Exons: 3
Source: RefSeq, a predicted model, not a curated record
GAUGGACCUUCUGUUUCUUGUUCCUCCUCUGUGGCCUGCUGUAAACCAGCAAGCUUCCUGCUUGCUCAGUCCGCGAGGUCCUGAUCUAGUGGCUUGUGGGAGAAGGCGAAGUGAUUUCUCUAUCUUGUGUGGCGCUUAGGGUCAGAAGCCUGCAUAUAAAGCUCAAAUUUACCCUUGAAAAUUCUCUCAAGCAUCCUCACUUGGCAGAAUUGAGAGCUGGCUACAGCCUGGGUGCUGCACAUCCCAUGAGGGUCUGCAUGCACUACUGGGGCUGCUGUGGACCUUCAGGAAUAUCCGUGGGAGGUCUGUAGGCCAUCGGAGUUGCUCCUGAAGAGACUGGGGCCAGGUCUUCUCCUCUUCCUUUGCUGCUUCCUGGCUCACGAUGGUAACAGACCAAGGAUUCUCCACUUUCUGCACCCAAGAAGGGCCAGGUGUGCUGUUGAGUCAUGUGUGGGCUGAAGUCAGCACCCUCCACUGAGAUCACCUCGGUGCCCUCGGGGCCUCAGGAGUGGUUCUUGCUGAUUGCCAUCGAGACUGCAGUCCCAUCUGCUGAGGAUGUGGCUUGAGGCCUGCCCUUGUGACUUGCUUUGACAAAUGGAAUUGUGGGAGAGUUAACCCAGACUGAAGCUUGAAAAUGCCCUUGGUGAAUGUGGCUUUGUCUCUUGGAAUCCAUGAGGACGUAUCUGGGUCAGCAUGUCAGAAUGAUGUAAGAGACACAGGUUAAUGGAGUACUAACCCAGAAGGUUGAGUUGUCCCAGCCAAGGUUGACCCCACAAGUAUUCAAGUACCAUGCAGGCAAUAAGAUCACCUAGCAGGCCAAAGAAUAUAUAAAGAACAGUAAAUGUUUUCAUUUUAAACUUUAAGUUUUUGGGUUAUUUGUUAUGCAGCAAUAGCUAACUGAUACAUGGAUUUUUUCCACUCCAGUAUUUCUGCCCUUUUCCUAGCUUCUCCUAGGUUGCUGAGCAUGUAUAAUAUGCACAGGAGAAGCUCUGCUAUCACAGAGGUUUGUAAUCCAGACUGCAGAAUGUCCUAUCAUGUGGAAGUGGGAUAGGUUUUCUCAUGAUGUUCUUGGAAAUAUAAACAGUUUAUUAUUUGUAAAGUAUCAUUUGAUAAGGUACAUCAAAAGCUUUUGAAUUGUUCUCAUUCUUAAUUCAAUCUAAU